This 253-nucleotide ribosomal RNA is filed under the name uncultured bacterium. RNAcentral's name for it is "partial 16S ribosomal RNA". It matches the Rfam family "Bacterial small subunit ribosomal RNA", at positions 524 to 776 of the family's 1533-position model. The record is from RNAcentral.
UACAGAGGGGGCAAGCGUUGUUCGGAAUUACUGGGCGUAAAGGGCGCGUAGGCGGCCUUCUAAGUCGAACGUGAAAUCCCCAGGCUCAACCUGGGAACUGCGUCCGAUACUGGGAGGCUUGAAUCCGGGAGAGGGAUGUGGAAUUCCAGGUGUAGCGGUGAAAUGCGUAGAUAUCUGGAGGAACACCGGUGGCGAAGGCGGCAUCCUGGACCGGUAUUGACGCUGAGGCGCGAAAGCUAGGGGAGCAAACGGG